ACACACUGUUAAACCUCUGAUUCUUGUGUCAUUGGACUGAUGACAAAGACAACAGAGAAAUGAAGCAGUAAAGAUCAGAGACAGAGACAGAGCUGCUGUGGAAGCAGAAAACUAUUUGAUUGGCUGAGCUAUUAAACUGGCCCCGCCCACUGAAGUUGAGCUCAUCCAAUGACAUUAUUUGUUGGUCAUUGUGCUGCAGUGGAAGAACAUUGUUCAUGUGCUGUCUGUCUGGCUUUAAUAACUCCAAAGACAUGUUGCUGCACCUCUUUUUGCUUCUAUCUCACAUUAUAGGACUAACAGCUGGAGACUCAAUCACUCCUCAACAACCUGAAGUCACUGAAACAGAAGGAGAAUCUGUCAAACUCACAUGUAGCUAUGAGACGAGUUACAGAAAUAUUUACCUUCACUGGUACAGACAUUAUUCUGAACUUCAGGCUCCUCUGUUUGCUGUCAAGAAAGGAGCAAAGGGAUUCAAGAAUCUGUAUACAUCUGAUAAUCGAUAUAAAUCAGAAACAUCUUCUACAUCAACUAAUCUGACCAUAACAGCCCUAACCCUGGCAGACACAGCUCUCUACUACUGUGCUCUAG
Molecule: long non-coding RNA, 588 nt
Organism: Astatotilapia calliptera (eastern happy)
Lineage: Eukaryota; Metazoa; Chordata; Actinopteri; Cichliformes; Cichlidae
Source: Ensembl